AAUAGGACUGCGGUUCUAUUUUGUUGGUUUCUAGGACCGAAGUAAUGAUUAAUAGGGAUAGUUGGGGCCGUUUGUAUUCCGUUGUCAGAGGUGAAAUUCUUGGAUUUAUGGAAGACGAACUACUGCGAAAGCAUUUACCAAGGAUGUUUUCAUUAAUCAAGAACGAAAGUUAGGGGAUCGAAGAUGAUUAGAUACCAUCGUAGUCUUAACCAUAAACUAUGCCGACUAGGGAUCGGACGGUGGUUUUUUUAUGCCCCGUUCGGCACCUUACGAGAAAUCAAAGUGUUUGGGCUCGGGGGGGAGUAUGGUCGCAAGGCUGAAACUUAAAGAAAUUG
Molecule: ribosomal RNA, 335 nt
Filed under: Goniomonas pacifica
Lineage: Eukaryota; Cryptophyceae; Goniomonadida; Goniomonadaceae
Description: partial Eukaryotic small subunit ribosomal RNA
Rfam family: Eukaryotic small subunit ribosomal RNA
Source: RNAcentral